Molecule: ribosomal RNA, 495 nt
Filed under: uncultured bacterium
Lineage: Bacteria
Description: partial 16S ribosomal RNA
Rfam family: Bacterial small subunit ribosomal RNA
Source: RNAcentral
GACGAACGCUGGCGGCGUGCCUAAUACAUGCAAGUAGAACGCUGAAGGAGGAGCUUGCUCUUCUGGAUGAGUUGCGAACGGGUGAGUAACGCGUAGGUAACCUUCCUGGUAGCGGGGGAUAACUAUUGGAAACGAUAGCUAAUACCGCAUAACAGUAGAUGUUGCAUGACAUUUGCUUAAAAGGUGCAAUUGCACCACUACCAGAUGGACCUGCGUUGUAUUAGCUAGUUGGUGGGGUAACGGCUCACCAAGGCGACGAUACAUAGCCGACCGGAGAGGGUGAGCGGCAACACUGGGACUGAGACACGGCCCAGACUCCUACGGGAGGCAGCAGUAGGGAAUCUUCGGCAAUGGACGGAAGUCUGACCGAGCAACGCCGCGUGAGUGAAGAAGGUUUUCGGAUCGUAAAGCUCGGUUGUAAGAGAAGAACGAGUGUGAGAGUGGAAAGUUCACACUGUGACGGUAUCUUACCAGAAAGGGACGGCUAACUACGUG